CAAAGAGAACGGCACGUCCGGCCUCGGCGAUGCUUACGCGCGGAGGCCCGCCUCUGAGACCCAGAGCGGCGUGGUGCCAUUUGGCACCGUGUGUUAGUGUGAGGGGGCAAACUCCCGAAGUCUGGUUUGUUGAUUACCCACUGCGGGGUCUUGCACACGUCAGAGUUCGCAGCAGCCUAAAAGCACAAGCUCAAAGGAAUCACAGCGUCAUCUCUGGGCAAAAUUAGUGGGUGAAGCAGCCUAUGGUGUACGCCCAUCUCCUGGUGGCAACUGUUCUCUGACACUGCGGUAGAGACAAGUUCUUACUUGAGCCAAGCUCAUAACUGCGAAAACACUCUGGUCCACCUCUUCAAAGAAGCUGGAAACAACCAGGGAGCCUUGGAGAGGUUCCUGCAGAAGUGGGAGUGUCCACUGCAGUUACUCUGUUUUGCUUCAUGACUGUCCAUUGGGCGUCUUACAGUCACAGCCUGUGAUCAACCGCAUCUGGACACAAUGGAAAGGGCUGAGCUGUCCCAGAGAUCCUGGACUUUCAAGCUGGAUGCAGCUGGUUGCCUCCCUUGGUGAGGGAGUGCGUUCUAUAUUUGGGAAGAAAGGUUGGUGUUUGGUGGCCAGCAGGGCGACUGUGGUGGUGAUUGUCAUUUCCCACCCAAAACCUUCCUCUAUAGUCAGAAAAUUAUAGUUAGGAUGUGGUUACUCAGGUGGGGCCCGUAUUUCCCAGCUCCUUUGCCCCCAGAGUGCCUACUGUUGAAAUUCUCACUGGUGGAAUGUGAACAGAAAUGCCUUGUGCAACUUUUGCCUCGCUUGUUAAGAGAAGAUAUUUGUGCCUGAACUGCUCUGACCCUUUCCUGCUGUUUCCUGCUGGCAACAACUAAGCAACCUUGGAAGCCCUAUGUUGAGAUGAAAAGCUGGACUUCAACGUGUGUUCUUACGUGAGUGAGAAAUUAAUUUGUAUUUUGUUUGAGCCAUUGCAUCUUAGGGUCUUUUUGUUAAACAGCUUGCAUUCCCCUGUUCACCUGUGUUGGACAUCAUGUUUCUUGUAUCCCACACAGGAUGACUUUCUUAGUUUAUUCCUUUAUUUUGGUGGAGCCCCUUGCCUUCUUCCAUUUGCUUUUGUGGAAAGUGUGCUCGACAGGUAAGUAUUAUGAGCUGAGUUCCUUUGCAUUUGAUCUAUUUUUAUCCUUCUGGAAACUUUAAGGAUCUUCUGUUUGUCUCCAGUGGUCUGGUUUGUGUCUAUUUUCAACUAUUGUACUGGGAACCCAACCCUUUCAGUCUGGAAACUUGCAUUCUUCAUUUGUGGAAAUGAAAUGUUUUUCUUAAUGAUUCCCUGUUCUGCAUUUUCUCUGUCUCUAUUAUUUGCAGAACUUUUAGUAUUCAGACAUUGGAGUUCCUUGCCUUGUACUCUACUUUUCUUACAUCUCUCCUUCUUUCCAUGUGUGUAUCUGUGGAGGAAGUUUACUUUUUGGGAAAUUUCCUUGUAUUUAUCUUCCUUCUACUGACUUUCUUGUUACCUGAAUGUUUCUUUUCUUUUUAAAAUAGCACCCUGGGGGAGGGGCAGAAGAUGGCGGCGUGAGUAGAGCAGCGGAAAUCUCCUCCCAAAACAACAUAUAUCUAUGAAAAUAUAACAAAGACAACCCUUCCUAGAAUAAAGACCAGAGGACACAGGACAAUAUCCAGACCACAUCCGCACCUGAGAGAACCCAGCGCCUCGCGAAGGGGGUAAGAUACGAGCCCCGGCCCCGCGGGAGCCGAGCGCCCCUCCCCCCAGCUCCCGGCGGGAGAAGAGCAGGCAGAGCGGGAGGGAGACGGAGCCCAGGACUGCCGAACACCCAGCCCCAGCCAUCCGGGCCAGAGUGCAGGGCCCUGGAUACUAGGAAAACAGGGCAGCAAGAACA
This is a long non-coding RNA of Manis pentadactyla (Chinese pangolin), 1892 nucleotides long. RefSeq lists it as uncharacterized. NCBI's taxonomy places the organism in Eukaryota, Metazoa, Chordata, Mammalia, Pholidota, Manidae. The record is from RefSeq and is a predicted model, not a curated record. The transcript has 3 exons.